UGAGUGGGAGGCAGUAAGGGGGGGUGAGGUGAGGCAUGCCAGGAGACAUGAUGUCAAAUCUGGCUUUUGAGCAGAUCUACCUGGGCAUCCUCACCUGCUUUCCUUGGGCAGAGCUCAAGACACAGAAGUGCCUUAUUCUCAAAGGUUUCAGAGGUCAUUUGGGUCCCUAAAUACCCAUGGGGAUUUGGACUUAGUUUCUACUCUGCUCUUAAAGAAGGAUUUAAUAGCACUUUCUUAUCCCCUGGAUAUCACAUACACGAUGAUAUCAAGAUAGACAAGAGAGACAAAGACCAAAAAAGUCACUGGCGAGAUCCAGAAGUUUGAUAUUUAAGUAAAACUUUCUUCAUACUUUUUUUGUUUCCAUGCAGGUGGAGUUAGUUUGCAGCUUUUGCUGUUCGUGCAGCUGUUCCAGUUGUGCUUAAACUGGUUUCCAAAAGGGUCCUGGUCAAUUUAAAAAGGUUAUCUGUAAGCAGCUGGGAGGCUGGAUUUCUAUCAAAAGUUAGGAAGUUGGACUUGUUACUUUUUGGACCAAGGGCAGGGGGCUUCUCCAGCAACCUGGCCCUUUCCUUGCCACAAGCAGACACAAUGUGUCGAGCUCUAAACCUGAACUGGUUUCUUUGUGGAGUACAAGACAUUGUGAUUCCUAAACAGAGUAUGAAAGCUGUUUCCUAUGCCUCAGAAACAGGCCAUUGUAAUGGGGUUUUGAUACUGAUGGUGUCAGUUAAUGUUUUAAAGCUAUUGCAGAUGCUCCCAUGGCUUAAGGACACUUACUCUUGGCUCUCAGCUCAUUUUCUUCAGGUGUCUGAUAGCAGGUUCCUGGCUGAGCUGUGAUGUGACUUCUGGCAGUUGACCUGACAACCUUGGAGCAGUUAAAGACCAACUGCGAGGUGCUCUAAGGGGUCAUGACUCAAAGGCCAGGCGACCUGCAAGCUGGGAAAGCUGGCUUCGCCCAUCUGUCCUUCAACUACCAUGUGCCAGUGACUUUACACCAUGCUGCAGUUCUGAAGCUUUCUGAAUAUCAACUAUACUUCUUCAUCCUUCCCCCCCUGCACCAAGAAAUCACAAACGUCCCCACCUUAGAGUUACUUUGUGACUGAUAAUUUCUCAUUUCUAUAUAGGGAAAGCCAAAGUAAGCAGCAGAGCUCAAGAAAGAGCUGAUGGCUCCUAGCGCCAGUGGCUCAGUCUCUCGUACCUCCAGGGACCAUCAUGCCUUGUUAGGAAAAAAGAAAAGGAAAAAAGGACUAUUGUGUGCAGGGAGACUGUCCUGGCUUAGUAGAGAAGAGAGGAGGGGGUCUGGUGCUCACAGGUGACUGAGGAGUCCCCAGCAGAGAGGCACUUCUGCUGUGUGUCAUCCUGGUCCCUAUCAUGGUGCUGUUGGGGUCUGGCCCUUCCUUUGUGUCCUACUGCUGCAGGACGAGGGACUCGCAGUAAAAAUGGGUGUUUAAGCUCCCAAAGUAA
Dromaius novaehollandiae (emu) is the source of this 1458-nucleotide long non-coding RNA. RefSeq lists it as uncharacterized. The record is from RefSeq and is a predicted model, not a curated record. NCBI's taxonomy places the organism in Eukaryota, Metazoa, Chordata, Aves, Casuariiformes, Dromaiidae. The transcript has 2 exons.